CAGGCUUAACACAUGCAAGUCGAGGGGCAUCAGGAAGAAAGCUUGCUUUCUUUGCCGGCGACCGGCGCACGGGUGAGUAACACGUAUCCAACCUGCCCUUUACUCGGGGAUAGCCUUUCGAAAGAAAGAUUAAUACCCGAUAGCAUAAUGAUUCCGCAUGGUUUCAUUAUUAAAGGAUUCCGGUAAAGGAUGGGGAUGCGUUCCAUUAGGUUGUUGGUGAGGUAACGGCUCACCAAGCCUUCGAUGGAUAGGGGUUCUGAGAGGAAGGUCCCCCACAUUGGAACUGAGACACGGUCCAAACUCCUACGGGAGGCAGCAGUGAGGAAUAUUGGUCAAUGGGCGCUAGCCUGAACCAGCCAAGUAGCGUGAAGGAUGAAGGCUCUAUGGGUCGUAAACUUCUUUUAUAUAAGAAUAAAGUGCAGUAUGUAUACUGUUUUGUAUGUAUUAUAUGAAUAAGGAUCGGCUAACUCCGUGCCAGCAGCCGCGGUAAUACGGAGGAUCCGAGCGUUAUCCGGAUUUAUUGGGUUUAAAGGGAGCGUAGGUGGACUGGUAAGUCAGUUGUGAAAGUUUGCGGUUCAACCGUAAAAUUGCAGUUGAUACUGUCAGUCUUGAGUACAGUAGAGGUGGGCGGAAUUCGUGGUGUAGCGGUGAAAUGCUUAGAUAUCACGAAGAACUCCGAUUGCGAAGGCAGCUCACUGGACUGCAACUGACACUGAUGCUCGAAAGUGUGGGUAUCAAACAGGAUUAGAUACCCUGGUAGUCCACACAGUAAACGAUGAAUACUCGCUGUUUGCGAUAUACAGUAAGCGGCCAAGCGAAAGCAUUAAGUAUUCCACCCGGGGAGUACGCCGGCAACGGUGAAACUCAAAGGAAUUGACGGGGGCCCGCACAAGCGGAGGAACAUGUGGUUUAAUUCGAUGAUACGCGAGGAACCUUACCCGGGCUUAAAUUGCAGUGGAAUGAUGUGGAAACAUGUCAGUGAGCAAUCACCGCUGUGAAGGUGCUGCAUGGUUGUCGUCAGCUCGUGCCGUGAGGUGUCGGCUUAAGUGCCAUAACGAGCGCAACCCUUAUCUUCAGUUACUAACAGGUCAUGCUGAGGACUCUGGAGAGACUGCCGUCGUAAGAUGUGAGGAAGGUGGGGAUGACGUCAAAUCAGCACGGCCCUUACGUCCGGGGCUACACACGUGUUACAAUGGGGGGUACAGAAGGCAGCUAGCGGGUGACCGUAUGCUAAUCCCAAAAUCCUCUCUCAGUUCGGAUCGAAGUCUGCAACCCGACUUCGUGAAGCUGGAUUCGCUAGUAAUCGCGCAUCAGCCACGGCGCGGUGAAUACGUUCCCGGGCCUUGUACACACCGCCCGUCAAGCCAUGGGAGCCGGGGGUACCUGAAGUACGUAACCGCAAGGAUCGUCCUAGGGUAAAACUGGUGACUGGGGCUAAG
RNAcentral lists this ribosomal RNA (1439 nucleotides) under uncultured organism. RNAcentral's name for it is "16S ribosomal RNA". It matches the Rfam family "Bacterial small subunit ribosomal RNA". The record is from RNAcentral.